CUACUGGGUUUCGAGGAGGGAUGAUUCAGUCACACCUGAACUGAGAACCGUUCAGAUCCUACGGAAGGCAGGCAGUGGGGAAUAUGCGCCAUGAACGAAAGUCUGACGCAGCGACGCCGCGUGUGGGAUGAGCUUUUCGGAGUGUAAAUCACUGUGCUCGGGACGAACAUCCCUUUUCGAGGGGACUGACGGUACCGAGUGAGGAAGCACUGGCUAACUCUGUGCCAGCAGCCGCGGUAAUACAGAGGGUGCGAGCGUUGUCCUGGAAUCACUGGGCGUAAAGGGCGCGUAGGUGGCUUGGUAAGCGUGUGGUGAAAGCUCGGGGCUCAACCCCGAGUCGGCCCAUGCGAACUGCCGAGCUUGAGCAUGGUAGAGGCAGGUGGAAUUCCGGGUGUAGCGGUGGAAUGCGUAGAUAUCCGGAAGAACACCGGUGGCGAAGGCGGCCUGCUGGGCCAUUGCUGACACUGAGGCGCGACAGCGUGGGGAGCAAACAGGAUUAGAUACCCUGGUAGUCCACGCCGUAAACGAUGGGCACUAGGUGCUUGGGGGAGCGACCCCCUGAGUGCCGGCGCUAACGCAUGAAGUGCCCCGCCUGGGGAGUACGGCCGCAAGGCUGAAACUCAAAGGAAUUGACGGGGGCCCGCACAAGCGGUGGAGCAUGUGGUUCAAUUCGACGCAACGCGAAGAACCUUACCUGGGUUUGACAUGCAGGAGAAAGCUCGCAGAAACGUGAGCCCCUCUUCGGAGUUCCUGCACAGAUGCUGCAUGGCUGUCGUCAGCUCGUGUCGUGAGAUGUUGGGUUAAGUCCCGCAACGAGCGCAACCCUCAUCUCCAGUUACCAGCGGGUAAUGCCGGGGACUCUGGAGGGACUGCCGGUGCCAAACCGGAGGAAGGUGGGGAUGACGUCAAGUCAUCAUGGCUCUUACAUCCAGGGCUACACACGUGCUACAAUGGCCGAGACAGAGGGCUGCGAACUCGCGAGAGGGAGCCAAUCCCCAAACUCGGCCUCAGUUCGGAUUGCAGUCUGCAACUCGACUGCAUGAAGCUGGAAUCGCUAGUAAUCGUGGAUCAGCUACGCCACGGUGAAUACGUUCCCGGGCCUUGUACACACCGCCCGUCACGCCAUGGAAGCUGUGAGUGCCCGAAGUCGGUGCCGCAACCGCAAGGAGCAAGCCGCCGAAGGCAAGCGCAGUGACUGGGGCGAAGUCGUAACAAGGUAGCCG
RNAcentral lists this ribosomal RNA (1223 nucleotides) under denitrifying bacterium enrichment culture clone NOB_2_F8. RNAcentral describes it as "bacterial SSU rRNA". It matches the Rfam family "Bacterial small subunit ribosomal RNA", at positions 283 to 1502 of the family's 1533-position model. The record is from RNAcentral.